This 329-nucleotide long non-coding RNA is filed under the name Polistes fuscatus (common paper wasp). RNAcentral's name for it is "uncharacterized LOC122514970". The record is from RNAcentral. Lineage: Eukaryota; Metazoa; Arthropoda; Insecta; Hymenoptera; Vespidae.
CGUUUUGAUACGGCAAAGAAGUAUAACUUCUUACGUGCGUACCUUUACUAAUGCUUCAGAAGAUUUGCAGAAGAGCCAGGAUGAACAAUUAUUAUAUUGGAUUCUAUCGUGUGAUGUAAUAUUAUGCUCUAAUUUUUUUUCUUUUCUCCUCUCUAAUAAUAAUUAUUUUGAUUCACACGCUUUAGAAAAUUUCUCCUUCCAUUUCACGAGUAGAGAGAGAGAGAGAGAAGGCUGCUAUAAAAUUUGAAUGGGAUAGCAAUACAUAAUUCUUUUUUACUUGCGAUAUCAUCCCCCACGACACAAGCGCACUGCUUUUAUUGAUAAUUCAA